GAGCGCGGGAAGCUCCAUGCACUCGUGCUGCUCCUCCACCGGUGCUGCUCCUUGUCGCCUUUCCUCAGUCGCGGAGCUUCGAUAGGUAAAGGAAAAAAUGCCUGCUACAAAGAAGCCGAUGAGAUAUGGGCACACAGAGGGACACACAGAUGUCUGUUUUGAUGAUUCUGGGAGUUGUAUUGUAACUUGUGGAAGUGAUGGUGAUGUGAGGAUUUGGGAAGACUUGGAUGAUGAUGAUCCUAAGUCCAUUAAUGUUGGAGAAAAAGCAUAUUCAUGCGCUUUGAAGAAUGGGAAAUUGGUCACUGCAGCAUCUAACAAUACUGUUCAAGUGCACACGUUUCCUGAAGGAGUUCCAGAUGGUAUAUUGACUCGCUUCACCACAAAUGCAAACCAUGUGGUCUUUAAUGGGGAUGGUGCAAAAAUUGCUGCUGGAUCUAGUGAUUUUCUAGUCAAAGUUGUGGAUGUGGCGGAUUGCAGCCAACAGAAAACAUUUCGAGGACACGAUGCCCCUGUUUUAAGUCUUUCCUUUGACCCUAAGGACAUCUUUCUGGCAUCAGCUAGUUGUGAUGGAUCUGUAAAGGUGUGGCAAAUUUCAGAUCAGACAUGUGCUAUCAGUUGGCCACUGCUGCAAAAAUGCAAUGAUGUGAUAAAUGCAAAAUCAAUCUGCAGACUUGCUUGGCAGCCAAAAGGUGGGAAGUUACUAGCAGUUCCUGUGGAAAAAUCUGUUAAGCUAUAUAGAAGAGAAACUUGGAGUAAUCAAUUUGAUCUUUCAGAUAAUUUCAUCUCUCAGACCCUAAAUAUAGUAACCUGGUCUCCUUGUGGACAAUAUUUAGCUGCAGGGAGUAUUAAUGGUUUAAUUAUAGUUUGGAAUGUGGAAACCAAAGAUUGCAUGGAAAGGGUGAAACAUGAGAAAGGUUAUGCAAUUUGUGGCCUGUCAUGGCAUCCUACUUGUGGUCAAAUAGCUUAUACUGAUGCAGAAGGAAAUCUGGGAGUCCUGGAGAAUGUUUGUGACCCCAGUGGAAAGAUGUCAAGCAGUAAGGUAUCUAGCAGAGUAGAAAAGGAUUAUAAUGAUCUUUUUGAUGGAGAAGAUACAAGUAGUGCUGGUGAUUUUCUAAAUGACAAUGCAGUCGAAACCCGCUCUUUUUCAAAACGGAUUAUAAAUGAUGAGGAAGAUGAUGAUGACCUCAUGCUGGCUUCAGGUCGUCCUAGACAGCGAAGUCAUAUCCUAGAAGAUGAUGAAAACUCAGUUGAUGUUACAAUGAUAAAAACUGGUUCUGGUUUUCUCAAAGAAGAGGAGGAGGAUGAUCAGGCAGGCAGCAUUCACAAUCUACCAGUUGUAACAUCCCAAAGGCCAUUUUAUGAUGGUCCUAUGCCAACGCCCCGGCAAAAGCCAUUCCAGUCAGGUUCUACACCCUUGCAUCUCACUCACAGAUUCAUGGUGUGGAACUCUAUUGGAAUUAUUCGCUGCUAUAAUGAUGAGCAAGACAAUGCCAUAGAUGUGGAGUUCCAUGAUACCUCCAUACACCAUGCAACACACUUAGCAAACACUUUGAAUUAUACAGUAGCGGAUCUUUCCCAUGAAGCUGUUUUGUUGGCAUGUGAAAGCACUGAUGAACUAGCAAGCAAGCUUCAUUGCCUGCACUUUAGUUCAUGGGAUUCAAGCAAAGAGUGGAUAGUAGACAUGCCUCAGAAUGAAAAUAUUGAAGCCAUAUGUCUUGGUCAGGGAUGGGCUGCUGCUGCCACUAGCACCUUGCUCCUUCGCUUGUUUACCAUUGGAGGUGUUCAGAAAGAGGUCUUCAGUCUCCCUGGGCCUGUUGUGUCAGUGGCAGGACAUGGAGAACAGCUUGUCAUUGUUUAUCACAGAGGUACAGGAUUUGAUGGGGAUCAGUGCCUUGGAGUUCAACUGCUGGAGCUGGGCAAAAAGAAAAAACAAAUUUUACAUGGUGAUCCUCUUCCUCUUUCAAGGAAAUCCUACCUUGUAUGGCUUGGCUUUUCAGCUGAAGGUACCCCAUUUUACGUGGAUUCAGAAGGCAUUGUUCGAAUGCUUAACAGAGGACUUGGUCAUACAUGGACUCCUGUAUGUAACACAAGAGAACACUGCAAAGGAAAAUCUGAUCACUACUGGGUGGUUGGUAUCCAUGAAAAUCCCCAGCAACUGAGGUGUAUUCCUUGCAAAGGUUCCCGAUUUCCUCCCACCCUUCCACGCCCUGCUGUAGCUGUAUUACCCUUUAAGCUUCCUUACUGUCAGACUGCCACAGAGAAAGGACAAAUGGAGGAACAGUACUGGCGUUCAGUUAUGUUUCACAACCACCUUGAUUAUUUAGCUAAAAAUGGUUAUGAAUAUGAAGAGAGCACUAAAAAUCAAGCAAUAAAAGAACAACAGGAACUUUUAAUGAAAAUGCUUGCGCUUUCUUGUAAACUGGAGCGGGAAUUUCGUUGUGUGGAACUUGCUGAUCUAAUGACUCAAAAUGCUGUGAAUUUAGCCAUUAAAUAUGCUUCUCGUUCUCGGAGAUUAAUAUUGGCCCAGAGACUUAGUGAACUGGCUGUAGAGAAAGCAGCAGAAUCGGCAGCCACCCAAGCUGAAGAAGAGGAAGAAGAAGAAGAGGAUUUCAAAAAAAAGUUGAAUGCUGGUUACAGUAAUACUCCUACAGAGUGGAGUCAGCCAAGGCUCAGAAAUCAAGUUGAAGAAGAUUCAGAGGAUACUGGAGAAGCUGAUGAUAUAGAAGAAAAACCAGAAAUACAUAAACAUGGAGAAAACCCGUUUUUCAAAAGUGCAAAUUCCUCUGAUAUGCCAGCUAUUAAGUCAGGUGCAGUUACCUCUAGCAACCAAGGACGAAUAAACCCCUUCAAGGUAUCAGGCAAUUCCAAAGAGCCAUCCAUUUCAGUGAAUUCAGUACGUUCAAGUAAUAUUUUAGACAAUAUGAACAAAUCAUCCAAGAAAUCUACUGCACUUAAUCGAGCUACAAAUUAUGAAAAGUCUCCAGUUAUAAAGCCUCUGGUUCCAAAACCAAAGUCUAAGCAGGCAUCUGCAGCAUCCUUUUUCCGGAAAAGAACUUCCCAAGCUGAUAGGACUGAGGAAGUGAAAGAAGAAAAUCCUAAAAAUCCAUCAUCUGAAACCCCAGCUAUGUGUCCUCAAAACACUGAAAACCAAAGGCCAAAGACCGGGUUCCAGAUGUGGCUGGAAGAAAACAGAUGUAAUAUUUUGUCUGACAAUCCUGACUUUUCAGAUGAAGCAGACAUAAUAAAAGAAGGAAUGGUUCGAUUUAGAGUAUUGUCAACUGAAGAAAGGAAGAGAUCCCACAAAACAAUGGAAAAGAAAUGAAUAUAGAAAGUAAAUAAAUCCACAAAAUUGAUGAUGAAGUGAAAGGGAUGAGGGACAUCCAUGAAUGAGAGAAUUCAGUAAAUUUAGGAGGACAAAAAGCGAGGGAUGCCCAAUAAAGCAAGGCAGGGAAAUUAUAACCUAGGCCAGCUCUUUUCUUAACUGGCCUACUAAUCACCAAGAGAGCUCAUUAAAAUGCAGAUUAUGGUUCAAUAAGUCUAGGGUGGGGCAUGAGGUUCUGCAUCUCUAAAAAGCUCCCAGGUGAUGCCCCUGAGGCUGGUCUGGUCCGAGGACCGCCUGUUGAGUAAGUAACAAGGGAGAAUAUAUAAGGAGGGGCUAUGGCCCAGGAGGGCACAGCCUGCCCUGUGGAACAUGAGAGAGGCUUCCGAUCAGGGCAGGAGUGAGGCGUGGGGCUGGAGCCAAGGAGAUUAAGUCUAUAUUUCAAGGGUUGAGAACCCAUUACCAUAGGGUCCAGACAGGUAAAGGGAAGAAAGCUAGUACAGUUGCACCCUAGGCCAUUGCUGUAGAAUUUGAGCCCAGAGUUACCCAAUCUUACCAUUUUCAGUAGAAGACAGAAAUCUAGAAUUUGUGUGAAGUCUCCUGAAUUUGUUUCAUUUUUGGCAACUAAUUAAAAUGGAAGGCUAUUCUAAAGAAAGUGAGCAAAUUUCCUAGGGAGAACCAGAGCAGUGAGUUCUGGUAUUCCGAAGGCAGAGGUGGGGGGCUGAGGGGGAGGCGGAGGGUAAGGGAGUGGUGUUCCUGAUGCUCACAAAGACUGAGAAGGAAGGAAUAAGCCAGAGACAAAACACAGAUGCCAAGACAAUGACUGAUCAGCUAGUAGCCAGGAGUUGGAAAAUCACAAAGAUACGAUCCAGGGAUUUGGUGGAGGUAAAAGGUAGAAUCCCACUUCAGUUUGAUGCAGGGAACUUCUCCACUAAGUGACCAGCGGUCAUGAUCCCGCCCUGUGGAGAAGGACUCCUAGCAUGCUACUUACUUGGUCACAUCGUCAUGGAAAUAUCAUACCACUGAAUUGGGCAAGAAAUUACAGAACACUAAUGAAA
Lagenorhynchus albirostris (white-beaked dolphin) is the source of this 4377-nucleotide RNA transcript. It is a transcript of the gene named WD repeat and HMG-box DNA binding protein 1, with no coding region annotated. The record is from RefSeq and is a predicted model, not a curated record. NCBI's taxonomy places the organism in Eukaryota, Metazoa, Chordata, Mammalia, Artiodactyla, Delphinidae. The transcript is spliced from 27 exons.